UACGGGGGGGGCAAGCGUUGUUCGGAAUUACUGGGCGUAAAGGGCUCGUAGGCGGCCAACUAAGUCGGACGUGAAACCCCCAGGCUUAACUUGGGAACUGCGUCCGAUACUGGAUGGCUUGAAUCCGGGAGAGGGAUGCGGAAUUCCAGGUGUAGCGGUGAAAUGCGUAGAUAUCUGGAGGAACACCGGUGGCGAAGGCGGCAUCCUGGACCGGUAUUGACGCUGAGUGAGCGAAAGCCAGGGGAGCAAACGGG
This 254-nucleotide ribosomal RNA is filed under the name uncultured bacterium. Its description in RNAcentral is "partial 16S ribosomal RNA". It matches the Rfam family "Bacterial small subunit ribosomal RNA", at positions 524 to 776 of the family's 1533-position model. The record is from RNAcentral.